GGGCGGGUAGCGUAGUGGUCAGCGCGUUCUUGAGCGUAAAGUAUACUGCGUUGAUUUCUCUUGCGUUUAGCGAAAGACCCGGGUUCGACUCCCGGCUUGCCUA
This is a non-coding RNA of Cercophora newfieldiana, 103 nucleotides long. The record is from the annotation of a GenBank genome assembly. NCBI's taxonomy places the organism in Eukaryota, Fungi, Ascomycota, Sordariomycetes, Sordariales, Lasiosphaeriaceae.